UAGAUUAUAUCUUAAUUUAAAGUAUUUCAUUUACAUUGAAAAGAUAUUAUUUAAUAAUUAAUCUUA
Molecule: transfer RNA, 66 nt
Filed under: Albulina orbitula
Lineage: Eukaryota; Metazoa; Arthropoda; Insecta; Lepidoptera; Lycaenidae
Description: Agriades orbitulus tRNA-Val
Source: RNAcentral